ACUCCUACGGGAGGCAGCAGUGGGGGAAUAUUGCACAAUGGGCGCAAGCCUGAUGCAGCCAUGCCGCGUGUAUGAAGAAGGCCUUCGGGUUGUAAAAGUACUUUCAGCAGUGAGGAAGGCGGGUACGUUAAUAGCGUGCCGUUUGACGUUAGCUGCAGAAGAAGCACCGGCUAACUCCGUGCCAGCAGCCGCGGUAAUACGGAGGGUGCGAGCGUUAAUCGGAAUUACUGGGCGUAAAGCGCAUGCAGGUGGUUUGUUAAGUCAGAUGUGAAAGCCCGGGGCUUAACCUCGGAAUAGCAUUUGAAAACUGGCAGACUAGAGUACUUAG
RNAcentral lists this ribosomal RNA (328 nucleotides) under uncultured bacterium. Its description in RNAcentral is "bacterial SSU rRNA". It matches the Rfam family "Bacterial small subunit ribosomal RNA", at positions 335 to 653 of the family's 1533-position model. The record is from RNAcentral.